This 85-nucleotide transfer RNA is filed under the name Streptosporangium pseudovulgare. RNAcentral describes it as "tRNA-Ala". Lineage: Bacteria; Bacillati; Actinomycetota; Actinomycetes; Streptosporangiales; Streptosporangiaceae. The record is from RNAcentral.
GCCGGGCCGGCCCGGCGGUCCGGGCGGCGGGCCCGGCGGGCCCGUCCCGCUGACCACCGCGCCGAUCGUGCCGGGGGCCCCGCCC